This 374-nucleotide ribosomal RNA is filed under the name uncultured organism. Its description in RNAcentral is "partial 16S ribosomal RNA". It matches the Rfam family "Bacterial small subunit ribosomal RNA", at positions 527 to 896 of the family's 1533-position model. The record is from RNAcentral.
GUAGGUGGCAAGCGUUGUCCGGAAUUAUUGGGCGUAAAGCGCGCGCAGGCGGUUCUUUAAGUCUGAUGUGAAAGCCCACGGCUCAACCGUGGAGGGUCAUUGGAAACUGGAGAACUUGAGUACAGAAGAGGAAAGCGGAAUUCCACGUGUAGCGGCGAAAUGCGUAGAGAUGUGGAGGAACACCAGUGGCGAAGGCGGCUUUCUGGUCUGUAACUGACGCUGAGGCGCGAAAGCGUGGGGAGCAAACAGGGAUUAGAUACCCUGGUAGUCCACGCCGUAAACGAUGAGUGCUAAGUGUUAGGGGGGUUUCCGCCCCCUUAGUGCUGCAGCUAACGCAUUAAGCACUCCGCCUGGGGAGUACGGCCGCAAGGCUG